RNAcentral lists this small RNA (547 nucleotides) under Pongo abelii (Sumatran orangutan). Its description in RNAcentral is "retained intron". Lineage: Eukaryota; Metazoa; Chordata; Mammalia; Primates; Hominidae. The record is from RNAcentral.
GGGGCAGCCCAGGAAGGCCCCAAGAGGACAAUGGAUUCUGGAACUCGCCCAGUUGGUAGCUGCUGUAGCAGCCCCGCUGGGCUCUCACGGGAGUACAAACUAGUGAUGCUGGGUGCUGGUGGUGUAGGGAAGAGUGCCAUGACCAUGCAGUUCAUCAGCCACCGAUUCCCAGAAGAUCAUGAUCCCACCAUUGGUAAGCCAGAUCAUCACUUAUAUUUCCAAAUAUGCCCCAUAAAAAUAUCUUAAUGACUAUCAGUGGUUUCUAACUAUUUAUAUUCUGAGCUUUUUUUGGAGUCUAAUUCAGAUUUAUUUAGAAACAAGGGUAUCAGCAAUUGGUAAGCAACUGAAUAUUUCUUUUUUUUCAGACUUUAUGUCAUAAGCCAUAUUUAGUCUUAGUCUCUUACUGAACAUUAAUGGGACAACUCUCUUUGUUGUAUUUUUUUAUGGUUGUAUACAGGCCACUUAACGAAGCCUUUUCUUGCUGUCACUUCUCUAAGGGUAUGACUUGAGACUCGCUCAGUAACUGUGAGUCAGCUGGUUUGAACUU